GUUUUUCGCUUUGAGAUGAGCUCGCGUGAGAUUAGCUAGUUGGUGAGGUAACGGCUCACCAAGGCGACGAUCUCUAACAGGUCUGAGAGGAUGAUCUGUCACACUGGAACUGAGACACGGUCCAGACUCCUACGGGAGGCAGCAGUAGGGAAUAUUGCACAAUGGAGGAAACUCUGAUGCAGCGACGCCGCGUGAGUGAUGAAGGACUUCGGUUCGUAAAGCUCUGUCGUAUGGGACUAACACAAUG
RNAcentral lists this ribosomal RNA (247 nucleotides) under uncultured Bdellovibrio sp. RNAcentral's name for it is "partial 16S ribosomal RNA". It matches the Rfam family "Bacterial small subunit ribosomal RNA", at positions 210 to 456 of the family's 1533-position model. The record is from RNAcentral. Lineage: Bacteria; Pseudomonadati; Bdellovibrionota; Bdellovibrionia; Bdellovibrionales; Pseudobdellovibrionaceae.